CCCUUAGAUGUUCUGGGCCGCACGCGCGCUACACUGAAGGAAUCAGCGUGGCUUUCUCCCUGACCCGAAAGGGUUGGGAAACCCGUUGAAUCUCCUUCGUGAUAGGGAUUGGGGCUUGAAAUUGUUCCCCACGAACGAGGAAUUCCCAGUAAGCGCGAGUCAUAAGCUCGCGUUGAUUACGUCCCUGCCCUUUGUACACACCGCCCGUCGCUACUACCGAUUGAACGGUUUAGUGAGGGCCUCGGAUUGGUCUCGGCCCGCUCUUUACCGGGCGGCGCCGUUGGUCGAGAAGACGCUCGAACUUGAUCGUUUAGAGGAAGUAAAAGUCGUAACA
This 334-nucleotide ribosomal RNA is filed under the name uncultured eukaryote. Its description in RNAcentral is "partial 18S ribosomal RNA". It matches the Rfam family "Eukaryotic small subunit ribosomal RNA", at positions 1470 to 1796 of the family's 1831-position model. The record is from RNAcentral.